GAUGAACGCUGGCGGCGUGCCUAAUACAUGCAAGUCGAGCGAACAGAUAAGGAGCUUGCUUCUUUGCAGUUAGCGGCGGACGGGUGAGUCAUACGUAGGUAACUUACCUAUAAGACUGGCAUAACUCCGGGAAACCGGGUAUCACGCCGGAUAACAUUUAGAACCGCAUGGUUCUAAGGACAAAGAUGUAUUUGCUAACACUUAUAGAUGGUCCCGCGCCGUAUUAGCUAGUUGGUAAGGUAACGGCUUACCAAGGCAACGAUACGUAACUGACCUGAGAGGGUGAUCAGCCACACUGGAACUGAGACACGGUCCAGACUCCUACGGGAGGCAGCAGUGGGGAAUCUUCCGCAAUGGGCGAAAGCCUGACCGAGCAAUGCCGCGUGAGUGAAGAAGGUCUUCGGAUCGUAAAGCUCUUUAAGUUGGGAGGAAGAAAAGUAAGUGAAUCUGUUCAUGUCUUGACGUUACCAACACAAAAAGCCACGGCUAACUACGUG
Molecule: ribosomal RNA, 497 nt
Filed under: uncultured bacterium
Lineage: Bacteria
Description: partial 16S ribosomal RNA
Rfam family: Bacterial small subunit ribosomal RNA
Source: RNAcentral